UGGUGAAUGGAAGCAGACGGAAAUUUGA
RNAcentral lists this non-coding RNA (28 nucleotides) under Mus musculus (house mouse). The record is from RNAcentral. Lineage: Eukaryota; Metazoa; Chordata; Mammalia; Rodentia; Muridae.